CCUACGGGUGGCAGCAGUGAGGAAUAUUGGUCAAUGGACGAGAGUCUGAACCAGCCAAGUAGCGUGAAGGAUGAAUGUGCCAAGGGUUGUAAACUUCUUUUAUAUGGGAAUAAAAUGAUCCACGUGAGGGUUUUCGUAUGUACCAUAAGAAUAAGGAUCGGCUAACUCCGUGCCAGCAGCCGCGGUAAUACGGAGGAUCCGAGCGUUAUCCGGAUUUAUUGGGUUUAAAGGGGGCGUAGGUGGAUUGUUAAGUCAGUUGUUAAAGGUUGCGGCUCAACCGUAAGAUUGCAGUUGAAACUGGCAGUCUUGAGUACAGUAGAGGUGGGCGGAAUGCGUGGUGUAGCGGUGAAAUGCUUAGAUAUCACGAAGAACUCCGAUUGCGAAGGCAGCUCACUGGACUGCAACUGACACUGAGGCUCGAAAGUGUGGGUAUCAAACAGGAUUAGAUACCCGUGUAGUC
Molecule: ribosomal RNA, 460 nt
Filed under: uncultured bacterium
Lineage: Bacteria
Description: partial 16S ribosomal RNA
Rfam family: Bacterial small subunit ribosomal RNA
Source: RNAcentral